UGGGGAAUAUUGGACAAUGGGCGCAAGCCUGAUCCAGCCAUGCCGCGUGAGUGAUGAAGGCCCUAGGGUUGUAAAGCUCUUUCACCGGUGAAGAUAAUGACGGUAACCGGAGAAGAAGCCCCGGCUAACUUCGUGCCAGCAGCCGCGGUAAUACGAAGGGGGCUAGCGUUGUUCGGAAUUACUGGGCGUAAAGCGCACGUAGGCGGAUCGAUCAGUUAGGGGUGAAAUCCCGGGGCUCAACCCCGGAACUGCCUCUAAUACUGUCGAUCUGGAGUUCGAGAGAGGUGAGUGGAAUUCCGAGUGUAGAGGUGAAAUUCGUAGAUAUUAGGAAGAACACCAGUGGCGAAGGCGCCUUACUGGCUCGGUACUGACGCUGAGGUACGAAAGCGUGGGGAGCAAACA
Molecule: ribosomal RNA, 402 nt
Filed under: uncultured bacterium
Lineage: Bacteria
Description: bacterial SSU rRNA
Rfam family: Bacterial small subunit ribosomal RNA
Source: RNAcentral